AAAAUCAAAUCUCAAUCAAACUAAAUUAAGUCGGCAUGUACAAACUUAAAUAGGAAGGAUCGUGAUCCAUGCCUAGCUAAUACAACUAAAUGCUAAAGAUAUAGGCUGAAACUGCAGAAUUGUCCAAUAUACAAAGACCAGCCAGUGUUCUGCGUCCAUGUUCCAUUAGAUCGAGCUUAUCUCCCCACAUGCUUUCAGGAAAAUACAUACAUCCUCUUUUCACAUAGAAUCAUUAUGCCAUUGAAAAACAACAUCUUGAAGCCCAUCCUUCAACCCCCCCCACUGAAAUUCCUCAAACUCCGCCCCAUCACCCCCCACCACCCUCACUUCCACCACCAAUAACUUUUCCGCUAUUUCCAACACCUCCAACACCAGAACCACCCUUCCUUUGCCCAACCCAAUUGCCCUACCCUUUCCUUCCUCAACCCUAUAUCC
This 435-nucleotide unclassified non-coding RNA is filed under the name Hevea brasiliensis (rubber tree). The record is from RNAcentral. Lineage: Eukaryota; Viridiplantae; Streptophyta; Magnoliopsida; Malpighiales; Euphorbiaceae.